GUCAUUUAUUUAAAAUGGGAAAUAAUUGCAGCAGAUGUGAAUGGGGAAGGGAGGGGAUGAGAGGGAGCAAACAUGUUAGGGGGCUAAUACAGGACUAGUCAGGAGAUGCAAUCAGUAGAGAAAAUAAAGAAAAGAUGGUGGAAGAAAGUGAUUUCUUACUUAUUCAUUUUUUUAAAGUAAGAACUACAAGGUAUGGAAUGUGCUGCCUAGACAGAUUGUAU
Molecule: non-coding RNA, 221 nt
Organism: Pelobates cultripes (western spadefoot toad)
Lineage: Eukaryota; Metazoa; Chordata; Amphibia; Anura; Pelobatidae
Source: the annotation of a GenBank genome assembly